GUUCUUGUAGUUGAAUUACAACGAUGGUUCUUCAAAUCAUUAGUCUCGAUUAGAGUUCGAGCAGGAAUU
RNAcentral lists this transfer RNA (69 nucleotides) under Rhodeus sericeus (Amur bitterling). Its description in RNAcentral is "tRNA-Glu". The record is from RNAcentral. RNAcentral also lists the same sequence under 4 other names. Lineage: Eukaryota; Metazoa; Chordata; Actinopteri; Cypriniformes; Acheilognathidae.